CAGUCGCCGCGGGAAUACGUAGGGUGCGAGCGUUAAUCGGAAUUACUGGGCGUAAAGCGUGCGCAGGCGGUUGUGUAAGACAGGUGUGAAAUCCCCGGGCUUAACCUGGGAACUGCGCUUGUGACUGCACAGCUAGAGUAUGGCAGAGGGGGGUGGAAUUCCACGUGUAGCAGUGAAAUGCGUAGAGAUGUGGAGGAACACCGAUGGCGAAGGCAGCCCCCUGGGCCAAUACUGACGCUCAUGCACGAAAGCGUGGGGAGCAAACAGGAUUAGAUACCCGUGUAGUCCCUGUCUCUUAUAA
This 301-nucleotide ribosomal RNA is filed under the name uncultured bacterium. RNAcentral's name for it is "partial 16S ribosomal RNA". It matches the Rfam family "Bacterial small subunit ribosomal RNA", at positions 509 to 809 of the family's 1533-position model. The record is from RNAcentral.